Molecule: ribosomal RNA, 503 nt
Filed under: uncultured bacterium
Lineage: Bacteria
Description: partial 16S ribosomal RNA
Rfam family: Bacterial small subunit ribosomal RNA
Source: RNAcentral
AUUGAACGCUGGCGGCAGGCUUAACGCAUGCAAGUCGAGCGGGGUGAUGGUGCUUGCACUAUCACUUAGCGGCGGACGGGUGAGUAAUGCUUAGGAAUCUGCCUAUUAGUGGGGGACAACAUCUCGAAAGGGAUGCUAAUACCGCAUACGUCCUACGGGAGAAAGCAGGGGAUCACUUGUGACCUUGCGCUAAUAGAUGAGCAUAAGUCGGAUUAGCUAGUUGGUGGGGUAAAGGCCUACCAAGGCGACGAUCUGUAGCGGGUCUGAGAAGAUGAUCCGCCACACUGGGACUGAGACACGGCCCAGACUCCUACGGGAGGCAGCAGUGGGGAAUAUUGGACAAUGGGGGGAACCCUGAUCCAGCCAUGCCGCGUGUGUGAAGAAGGCCUUAUGGUUGUAAAGCACUUUAAGCGAGGAGGAGGCUCUUUUGGUUAAUACCCAAGAUGAGUGGACGUUACUCGCAGAAUAAGCACCGGCUAACUCUGUGCCAGCCGCCGCAGUAA